ACGCGAGGAACCUUACCAGGUCUUGACAUCCCAUUGACCGCUAUGGAGACAUAGCUUUCCCUUCGGGGACAGUGGUGACAGGUGGUGCAUGGUUGUCGUCAGCUCGUGUCGUGAGAUGUUGGGUUAAGUCCCGCAACGAGCGCAACCCUUGAUCUUAGUUGCCAGCAUUAAGUUGGGCACUCUAAGGUGACUGCCGGUGACAAACCGGAGGAAGGUGGGGAUGACGUCAAAUCAUCAUGCCCCUUAUGACCUGGGCUACACACGUGCUACAAUGGAUGGUACAAAGGGCUGCAAAACCGCGAGGUUAAGCGAAUCCCAUAAAACCAUUCUCAGUUCGGAUUGUAGGCUGCAACUCGCCUACAUGAAGCUGGAAUCGCUAGUAAUCGCGGAUCAGCAUGCCGCGGUGAAUACGUUCCCGGGCCUUGCACACACCGCCCGU
This 439-nucleotide ribosomal RNA is filed under the name uncultured bacterium. RNAcentral's name for it is "bacterial SSU rRNA". It matches the Rfam family "Bacterial small subunit ribosomal RNA", at positions 959 to 1397 of the family's 1533-position model. The record is from RNAcentral.